This 792-nucleotide ribosomal RNA is filed under the name uncultured bacterium. RNAcentral describes it as "bacterial SSU rRNA". It matches the Rfam family "Bacterial small subunit ribosomal RNA", at positions 62 to 889 of the family's 1533-position model. The record is from RNAcentral.
UCGAACGAGAAAGUCCGCAAGGAUGAGUAAAGUAGCGUACGGGUGAGUAACACGUGGAUAAUCUACCCUCUUGUGGGGAGUACCGUUGGGAAACCGACGACAAUACCGCAUAAGCUCGAGAGAGGAAAGCAGCAAUGCGCUGGAGGAGGAGUCCGCGGCUGAUUAGCUAGUUGGUGAGGUAAUGGCUCACCAAGGCUCAGAUCAGUAGCCGGCCUGAGAGGGCACACGGCCACACUGGCACUGAAACACGGGCCAGACUCCUACGGGAGGCAGCAGUGGGGAAUCUUGCACAAUGGGGGAAACCCUGAUGCAGCAACGCCGCGUGAGCGAUGAAGCCCUUCGGGGUGUAAAGCUCUUUCGGCAGGGAAGAUGAUGACGGUACCUGCAGAAGCAGCUGCGGCUAACUACGUGCCAGCAGCCGCGGUAAUACGUAGGCAGCAAGCGUUGUUCGGAGUUACUGGGCGUAAAGGGUGUGUAGGCGGUUGGAUAAGUGUGGUGUGAAAUCUCCCGGCUCAACUGGGAGGGUGCGCUACAAACUGUCUGACUAGAGUGUGGGAUGGGAAAGUGGAACUCCUGGUGUAGCGGUGAAAUGCGUAGAUAUCAGGAGGAACACCGGUGGUGUAGACGGCUUUCUGGACCAUAACUGACGCUGAGACACGAAAGCGUGGGUAGCAAACAGGAUUAGAUACCCUGGUAGUCCACGCCCUAAACGAUGCAUAUUUGGUGUGGGUCAUUCAUUUGAUCCGUGCCGGAGCUAACGCGUUAAAUAUGCCGCCUGGGGAGUACAGUCGC